RNAcentral lists this ribosomal RNA (1438 nucleotides) under uncultured organism. RNAcentral describes it as "SSU rRNA". It matches the Rfam family "Bacterial small subunit ribosomal RNA". The record is from RNAcentral.
CUUAACACAUGCAAGUCGAGGGGCAGCAUGGUCUUAGCUUGCUAAGGCCGAUGGCGACCGGCGCACGGGUGAGUAACACGUAUCCAACCUGCCGUCUACUCUUGGACAGCCUUCUGAAAGGAAGAUUAAUACAAGAUGGCAUCAUGAGUCCACAUGUUCACAUGAUUAAAGGUAUUCCGGUAGACGAUGGGGAUGCGUUCCAUUAGAUAGUAGGCGGGGUAACGGCCCACCUAGUCUUCGAUGGAUAGGGGUUCUGAGAGGAAGGUCCCCCACAUUGGAACUGAGACACGGUCCAAACUCCUACGGGAGGCAGCAGUGAGGAAUAUUGGUCAAUGGGCGAGAGCCUGAACCAGCCAAGUAGCGUGAAGGAUGACUGCCCUAUGGGUUGUAAACUUCUUUUAUAAAGGAAUAAAGUCGGGUAUGCAUACCCGUUUGCAUGUACUUUAUGAAUAAGGAUCGGCUAACUCCGUGCCAGCAGCCGCGGUAAUACGGAGGAUCCGAGCGUUAUCCGGAUUUAUUGGGUUUAAAGGGAGCGUAGAUGGAUGUUUAAGUCAGUUGUGAAAGUUUGCGGCUCAACCGUAAAAUUGCAGUUGAUACUGGAUAUCUUGAGUGCAGUUGAGGCAGGCGGAAUUCGUGGUGUAGCGGUGAAAUGCUUAGAUAUCACGAAGAACUCCGAUUGCGAAGGCAGCCUGCUAAGCUGCAACUGACAUUGAGGCUCGAAAGUGUGGGUAUCAAACAGGAUUAGAUACCCUGGUAGUCCACACGGUAAACGAUGAAUACUCGCUGUUUGCGAUAUACAGCAAGCGGCCAAGCGAAAGCGUUAAGUAUUCCACCUGGGGAGUACGCCGGCAACGGUGAAACUCAAAGGAAUUGACGGGGGCCCGCACAAGCGGAGGAACAUGUGGUUUAAUUCGAUGAUACGCGAGGAACCUUACCCGGGCUUAAAUUGCAGAUGAAUUACGGUGAAAGCCGUAAGCCGCAAGGCAUCUGUGAAGGUGCUGCAUGGUUGUCGUCAGCUCGUGCCGUGAGGUGUCGGCUUAAGUGCCAUAACGAGCGCAACCCUUGUUGUCAGUUACUAACAGGUCAUGCUGAGGACUCUGACAAGACUGCCAUCGUAAGAUGUGAGGAAGGUGGGGAUGACGUCAAAUCAGCACGGCCCUUACGUCCGGGGCUACACACGUGUUACAAUGGGGGGUACAGAGGGCCGCUACCACGCGAGUGGAUGCCAAUCCCAAAAACCUCUCUCAGUUCGGACUGGAGUCUGCAACCCGACUCCACGAAGCUGGAUUCGCUAGUAAUCGCGCAUCAGCCACGGCGCGGUGAAUACGUUCCCGGGCCUUGUACACACCGCCCGUCAAGCCAUGGGAGCCGGGGGUACCUGAAGUGCGUAACCGCGAGGAGCGCCCUAGGGUAAAACUGGUGACUGGGGCUAAGUCAU